AUACUGGUGGGGAGUUUUACCGUUGUGUCCCCUUGCUGUAUCUUGUUCGCGCAGCGUGUCCGCAGGACAUAGGAGAGCGAUGUUACAGAUGCAGACAGUAG
RNAcentral lists this small RNA (101 nucleotides) under Calothrix sp. 336/3. RNAcentral's name for it is "CyVA-1 RNA". It matches the Rfam family "CyVA-1 RNA". From Rfam's summary of the family: Cyanobacteria, Acidobacteria (1 example), Verrucomicrobia (1 example). Big IGRs Lineage: Bacteria; Bacillati; Cyanobacteriota; Cyanophyceae; Nostocales; Calotrichaceae. The record is from Rfam by way of RNAcentral.